Molecule: long non-coding RNA, 2039 nt
Filed under: Sus scrofa (pig)
Lineage: Eukaryota; Metazoa; Chordata; Mammalia; Artiodactyla; Suidae
Description: lncRNA (ENSSSCG00065028475.1)
Source: RNAcentral
UCAGCACACCGCUGCAGGGCUAAAGGGACUUGGGAAUUUGAUGUUUGAAGGGGAGGUGGUGCGCCAUUCCAAGUAAGUGGCUGUGAGGUCACCAUGGAAACCAUCACUCGAAUUUGGGUGUAUUUAAAAUCUCAAUUCAGCAUUUAAAAUCUGUAGUUUGCCUUUGAGAAACAUCCCAGGUUUUCAAAAAGCUUUGGGUAAGUGAGAGCAAGGGAUCAGAGGUGUUGAUUAGUCUGUUUACUUAGCUAAUAAAACUAAACUUUUUUUUAGGCACAGUAGUUGGUUUCUUUGCCAGGGUAAGCAGAAAAUUGGAUUCACUAUGUUUAGACAUGCCCUUUCAUUCAGGUCACAGUUGUACAUCCGUAAAUCUUUUUAUCAUAUUUAAUAUCUAUGCAGAUGCCAUGCGGCUACAUGUUUAUAUUACUCCUUCCUAAAAAAAAAGAGACACACUGAGUCAAGGAUGUGUUUGCCUGGCAUUCCAAUUUUUUAAUUGGGUCUUUUCCCAUAAACCUAGGUUGUUGUUUACAGCUUCUCGCUCUUUUAAAAAAACACCAUGGUAACCUGGAAAAGAAAACUUUUCACAAAAUCCAUUUUUCAUUAUUCCAUAGUCUGAAAAUUACAUUUAAAUUCGGAAAAAAAUGACUCUAAAUCAGAGGGUGUCAGUUUCACUGGCGUAUAAGCUUUCUUACUUGGUCCCAUUUUCCUUUUCCCAUCAUUCCUCAAGCAAGGAAGGUGGUCACCAAUUCACCAUUUCUCCCUUCAAGAGGCCUUGCCUUAUAAAAAUCCUUAUAAUCCUGUAUGCGUAGGGUAAUAUCCAAAAGGCAGGUGCAAAAGGCGAACUGACAUACACAUAAUCCAAAGAUUAGAAAGUCUCUGAAUAAUCAAAAAUUGGUGGAAAAUUGUGUACUGAGUUAAUGUAAUUAGAACAUACAUUUCAUUUCAAAUUGCCUAAUUUCUGAGCUUUGAGUUUGUACAUCGAAUUCUGUAAUGUAUGCAGAAGUAGUAAGUGCAAAGUCAUUAAAAUAUUGCUUGUGCUAAUUUUUUGUCUUUUGGUAUGCAAAAUUUAGAAAUUCCAUUCAAAAACAAACACUCUAGGAGUUCCCAUCCUGGCGCAGUGGAAAGGAAUCCGACUAGAGACCAUGAGACCAUGAGGUUCGAUCCCUGGCUUCCCUCAGUGGGUUAAGGAUUUGGCAUUGCCGUGAGCUGCUGUGUAGGUCAUAGAGUGGCUCAGAUCUGUCGUUGCUGUGGCUGUGGCGUAGGCUGACAGCUACAGCUUGGAUUACACCCCUAGCCUGGGAACCUCCAUAUACCAAAAGUACAGCCCUAACAGGACAAAAGACAAAAAAAAAAAAAAAAAAAAAAAAAAAAAAAAACCCUAAAAAAAAAUUUUUUUUUUUUUUUUUUUGGGACACACCACAGCACAUGGAGGUUCCCAGGCUAGGGGUCGAACUGGAGCUAUAGCUGCUGGCCUACACCACAGCCACAGCAACACAUGAUCUGAACCAUGUCUGUGACCUAGACCACAGCUCAUGGCAAUGCUGGAUCCUUAACCCACUGAGUGCAGCCAGGGAUCGAACCUGUGUCCUCAUGGAUGCUAGUCAGACUCGUUAAUGGUUGAGCCAUGGCAAGAACUCCUCUAAUGACAAUCUUGAUUCAUAUCAUGUGAAAAGGUAUUUUCUGAUUACCCAUUUGAUCUUGUCAAAAACACAUUAAUCCAUAGUCUAUUAAUAUGUAUCACUUUUCUAUCAUUAAAAGUUGUUUUGUUCUGAUACUCCUGAUUUCUAAUGGCAUGGCAGCAUUAUACACACUACCAAAUGCGGCUUGUCAUUAGUGGCUCAUAAUUGACAUCAUUACUCCAAACUCCUUUUCCUUUAAUAGGGUUUUAGCCAUAGGCACAUCCUCAACUUUACUUCAAGAAUUCUUACAAAUAUCUAUUGAAUGUCAUAAUUCACGUUUGCAGACCUAUAAUUGCAGGUUGGAGUGGUGUAUUUACAUCUCCAGAUUAAGGAAUAAAUAAUUAACAAUCUAUGAGUAAUGCC